Molecule: ribosomal RNA, 492 nt
Filed under: uncultured bacterium
Lineage: Bacteria
Description: partial 16S ribosomal RNA
Rfam family: Bacterial small subunit ribosomal RNA
Source: RNAcentral
AGUGAACGCUGGCGGUAGGCCUAACACAUGCAAGUCGAACGGCAGCACAGUAAGAGCUUGCUCUUACGGGUGGCGAGUGGCGGGCGGGUGAGGAAUACAUCGGAAUCUACUUUUUCGUGGGGGAUAACGUAGGGAAACUUACGCUAAUACCGCAUACGACCUACGGGUGAAAGCAGGGGAUCUUCGGACCUUGCGCGAUUGAAUGAGCCGAUGUCGGAUUAGCUAGUUGGCGGGGUAAAGGCCCACCAAGGCGACGAUCCGUAGCUGGUCUGAGAGGAUGAUCAGCCACACUGGAACUGAGACACGGUCCAGACUCCUACGGGAGGCAGCAGUGGGGAAUAUUGGACGAUGGGCGCAAGCCUGAUCCAGCCAUACCGCGUGGGUGAAGAAGGCCUUCGGGUUGUAAAGCCCUUUUGUUGGGAAAGAAAAGCAGCAGGUUAAUACCCGGCUGUUCUGACGGUACCCAAAGAAUAAGCACCGGCUAACUUCGUG